Molecule: ribosomal RNA, 400 nt
Filed under: Microbacterium oxydans
Lineage: Bacteria; Bacillati; Actinomycetota; Actinomycetes; Micrococcales; Microbacteriaceae
Description: bacterial SSU rRNA
Rfam family: Bacterial small subunit ribosomal RNA
Source: RNAcentral
CGGCUACCUGCAGUCGACGGUGAACACGGAGCUUGCUCUGUGGGAUCAGUGGCGAACGGGUGAGUAACACGUGAGCAACCUGCCCCUGACUCUGGGAUAAGCGCUGGAAACGGCGUCUAAUACUGGAUAUGUGACGUGACCGCAUGGUCUGCGUCUGGAAAGAAUUUCGGUUGGGGAUGGGCUCGCGGCCUAUCAGCUUGUUGGUGAGGUAAUGGCUCACCAAGGCGUCGACGGGUAGCCGGCCUGAGAGGGUGACCGGCCACACUGGGACUGAGACACGGCCCAGACUCCUACGGGAGGCAGCAGUGGGGAAUAUUGCACAAUGGGCGCAAGCCUGAUGCAGCAACGCCGCGUGAGGGACGACGGCCUUCGGGUUGUAAACCUCUUUUAGCAGGGAAGA